CCUACGGGAGGCAGCAGUGAGGAAUAUUGGUCAAUGGACGAGAGUCUGAACCAGCCAAGUAGCGUGAAGGAUGACUGCCCUAUGGGUUGUAAACUUCUUUUAUAUGGGAAUAAAAUGUUCCACGUGUGGGAUUUUGUAUGUACCAUAUGAAUAAGGAUCGGCUAACUCCGUGCCAGCAGCCGCGGUAAUACGGAGGAUCCGAGCGUUAUCCGGUUUUAUUGGGUUUAAAGGGAGCGUAGGUGGAUGGUUAAGUCAGUUGUGAAAGUUUGCGGCUCAACCGUAAAAUUGCAGUUGAAACUGGCAGUCUUGAGUACAGUAGAGGUGGGCGGAAUUCGUGGUGUAGCGGUGAAAUGCUUAGAUAUCACGAAGAACUCCGAUUGCGAAGGCAGUUCACUGGACUGCAACUGACACUGAGGCUCGAAAGUGUGGGUAUCAAACAGGAUUAGAUACCCUAGUAGUC
RNAcentral lists this ribosomal RNA (460 nucleotides) under uncultured bacterium. RNAcentral's name for it is "partial 16S ribosomal RNA". It matches the Rfam family "Bacterial small subunit ribosomal RNA", at positions 338 to 795 of the family's 1533-position model. The record is from RNAcentral.